UCUCUACUAAAUUUCACUAUGAAUUUAAGGUAUUCACAGUGAAAUUUUGUAGAGAAA
RNAcentral lists this microRNA precursor (57 nucleotides) under Schmidtea mediterranea. RNAcentral's name for it is "Sme-Mir-2170_pre stem-loop". The record is from RNAcentral. Lineage: Eukaryota; Metazoa; Platyhelminthes; Tricladida; Dugesiidae.